GGGGUUUUGGUUUUCCCC
RNAcentral lists this unclassified non-coding RNA (18 nucleotides) under synthetic construct. RNAcentral describes it as "RNA (5'-R(*GP*GP*GP*GP*UP*UP*UP*UP*GP*GP*UP*UP*UP*UP*CP*CP*CP*C)-3') from synthetic construct (PDB 5I9H, chain B)". The record is from RNAcentral.